RNAcentral lists this long non-coding RNA (568 nucleotides) under Musa acuminata (dwarf banana). Its description in RNAcentral is "long non-coding RNA (MACU_LNC003913)". The record is from RNAcentral. Lineage: Eukaryota; Viridiplantae; Streptophyta; Magnoliopsida; Zingiberales; Musaceae.
GCUCAAAACUGCUAGUUUUCCUCCUCCUUCUGUUCUUCAAGUUUGAGUUGUGAAGAGAGGAGAGAAAACAUCUGUAAGGGUUGUCUCCUAAGCCCGUCAAAAGGAGUGAAUUUGUAAGAGGGUAGUUGGCCUUCGCCUAUUGAAGGAAGGCCUCUAGUUGACGUCGGUAACCUCAUCGGUGGAGGAAGCCAAAAGUGGAGUAGGUCAAGACUGACCGAACCACUCUAAAUCUCUGGUUUGCGUUUAUUUUGAGCACUUUAUCAUUACUGCAAACCUCCUACAUAGCUACUGCCCUCUGCGCUUUUACGAACGAGUUCUGUGUAGUUUACGUUCACGUCUUAAUUCCAUUUACAAACUGCAAACUGCUCUCUGCGCUUUUACGAACGAAUUCUGUGCAGUUUACGUUUACGUCUUGAUUCCAUCUACAAACUGCAAACUGUCUCUCUGCGCUUUUAUGAAUGAGUUCUGUGCAGUUUACGUUUACGUCUUGAUUUCACUUACAACUGCAAACUGUCUUCUGCGCUUUUUUACGAACAAGGUUCUGUGCAGUUUAAGUUUACGUCUUGAU